Molecule: ribosomal RNA, 484 nt
Filed under: uncultured bacterium
Lineage: Bacteria
Description: partial 16S ribosomal RNA
Rfam family: Bacterial small subunit ribosomal RNA
Source: RNAcentral
GACGAACGCUGGCGGCGUGCUUAACACAUGCAAGUCGAACGAUGAACCCGGAGCUUGCUCCGGUGGAUUAGUGGCGAACGGGUGAGUAACACGUGAGUAACCUGCCCUUGACUCUGGGAUAACUGCGGGAAACUGUAGCUAAUACCGGAUACGACCCUCGGCGGCAUCGCCAGGGGGUGGAAAGAAUUUCGGUCAAGGAUGGACUCGCGGCCUAUCAGCUAGUUGGUGAGGUAACGGCUAACCAAGGCGACGACGGGUAGCCGGCCUGAGAGGGUGACCUGCCACACUGGGACUGAGACACGGCCCAGACUCCUACGGGAGGCAGCAGUGGGGAAUAUUGCACAAUGGGCGAAAGCCUGAUGCAGCAACGCCGCGUGAGGGAUGAGGGCCUUCGGGUUGUAAACCUCUUUUAGCAGGGAAGAAGCGAAAGUGACGGUACCUGCAGAAAAAGCACCGGCUAACUACGUGCCAGCCGCCGCCGUAA